This 305-nucleotide ribosomal RNA is filed under the name uncultured bacterium. Its description in RNAcentral is "bacterial SSU rRNA". It matches the Rfam family "Bacterial small subunit ribosomal RNA", at positions 337 to 658 of the family's 1533-position model. The record is from RNAcentral.
GCCUACGGGGCGCAGCAGUGGGGAAUAUUGCACAAUGGGGGAAACCCUGAUGCAGCGACGCCGCGUGGGUGAAGGAGUAUUUCGGUAUGUAAAGCCCUAUCGGCAGGGAAGAAGCAAGACGGUACCUGACUAAGAAGCCCCGGCUAACUACGUGCCAGCAGCCGCGGUAAUACGUAGGGGGCAAGCGUUAUCCGGAUUUACUGGGUGUAAAGGGAGCGCAGACGGCAGUGCAAGUCUGGAGUGAAAGCCCGGGGCUCAACCCCGGGACUGCUUUGGAAACUGCAUAGCUGGAGUGCUGGAGAGGG